AAGUCGUAACAAGGUCUCCGUUGGUGAACCAGCGGAGGGAUCAUUGCUGGAACGCGCCUCGGCGCACCCAGAAACCCUUUGUGAACUUAUACCUAUUGUUGCCUCGGCGAAGGCCGGCCUCUCUUCUGAGGCCCCCCGGGAACGGGGAGCAGCCCGCCGGCGGCCAACCAAACUCUUGUUUCUUAGUGAAUCUCUGAGUAAAAAAACAUAAAUGAAUCAAAACUUUCAACAACGGAUCUCUUGGUUCUGGCAUCGAUGAAGAACGCAGCGAAAUGCGAUAAGUAAUGUGAAUUGCAGAAUUCAGUGAAUCAUCGAAUCUUUGAACGCACAUUGCGCCCUCUGGUAUUCCGGAGGGCAUGCCUGUUCGAGCGUCAUUUCAACCCUCAAGCCUGGCUUGGUGUUGGGGCACUGCCUGUAAAAGGGCAGGCCCUGAAAUCUAGUGGCGAGCUCGCUAGGACCCCGAGCGUAGUAGUUUAUAUCUCGUUCUGGAAGGCCCUGGCGGUGCCCUGCCGUUAAACCCCCAACUUCUGAAAUUUUGACCUCGGAUCAGGUAGGAAUACCCGCUGAACUUAAGCAUAUCAA
RNAcentral lists this ribosomal RNA (582 nucleotides) under fungal endophyte. RNAcentral's name for it is "eukaryotic LSU rRNA". The stretch from base 221 to 374 matches the Rfam family "5.8S ribosomal RNA". The record is from RNAcentral. Lineage: Eukaryota; Fungi.